GAAUUUGUUGCUAAUACAUUCUUGAAAAGAUUGCCUGUUGAAAACCGGGAAGUCUGAAGGAGUAGAAGCUGUUUGAGGAAAUUCCUGAGAGAGCUUUUUCUAUGUUGAUGUCGUAUCGUGUAGAUCCGAGUCAUCCGACAGGCGUGAAUUAUAAUCUCUAUUGAAUCACUAUGGCCAACAUGUAAACUGGGUCAUUGUUUUACAUUCAAAGUUUGAAUUAUUUAUGCUACCUUUUAUAUGUAUUAAUGGUGUUAUUCCACACUUCAUCAUAAUUUAAUGAAAUUGCAAGUCUU
Molecule: long non-coding RNA, 293 nt
Organism: Salvia hispanica
Lineage: Eukaryota; Viridiplantae; Streptophyta; Magnoliopsida; Lamiales; Lamiaceae
Source: RefSeq, a predicted model, not a curated record